GGCACGGCGCUUUGACGCGCUGCCGCCCCGAGCGGGCGCUCCGCCAGGGCGGAGGGGCAAGAGGGGGGGCGUGAAGGCUUCCGACGGGGCGUACCGCGACCCCCCUCAACUUUAGGUCCCCUCAUUUUAGCUCUGCCCAUCAACCCUUCGCGGGAGUUGAUACUGCUUGCAAACUUCAGAAGGAAAAUAGGCAGAAGCUCACUCUGGAGAACACUGCUCUGGUGAAGGAAUUGUAGAAGUAACACUUUCUCAGUUCAGAAAGCAGCGUUCUCCAUCUUGCUCCUGAACAAAGGAAGAUUAACAACACUGUGUUUCCAUGCGUGUUUGUGUGUUCUUGACUGACAGUCUUCAGUGUGAGCACUGCUGCACAGGACCAAACAGACUUUCCAGCUGGCUUAUGGAGUACAUGAAGCUGCAGCAAGGCUAAAUUUCCUGCAGGAAUGCCAGCCCAAUUCCUUCUACCAACCCACUCUAUGAAGAGGAGUGAUCUGGAAGAUCUCUUGAGGAAAGGAGACCAAACAACUCCUUACCCAUAUUGCCAUGGAGACAUCAACACAAACAGAGCACCUCCUUCUUCCACAGUCUCCAGUGGUUCCCAGCUCCAGGGCCAUACAGUGAGAGAUGGAGCAGACCAGAAGUUCAGAUUACUCAUGUGGGGCUCCUUGCAAUCCAUUUCCUGAAAAUUCCGCUUCACCUGGAGUACCGCGUCCAAAUAUGGAAUCCACAGUACAGGAGAGAUGUAGACCUGUCAGAGCACGUCCAGAGAAGGGCUGCAGAAAUGAUCCAAGGGAUGGAACACCUCUCCUAUGAGGACAGGUCGAGAGGGCUGGGGCUGUUCUCUGGAGAAGAGAAGGCUCCAAGGUGACCUGAGAGCAGCCUUUCUAGUGUUGAUGAAGGACAUCACUCUCAGCAGCUCCAGGUCAAGGACCAGCAGUGCACUUGCGACUACCUGACAGGAAUAAGACAGGAAUGUAAGAAAUCUGAAAUAAGCAUACCUUUGUUCUUCUUGUAUAAUGACUGCCCCAAAAAUGCUGGCACAAAGACAUUUAAAAAAAUGAAGACAGCUUAAGAAGUCUGCAGUGCUUUAAGACUGAUUCCUACUCAGUAGACUACAGGACCAACAGGCAUUUUACUGCUCAGAGACAGUAAUCAAGAUGUCAAGAAUGUUAACUUGCUUCAAUAAAUAUUGCUUUUAUUACUACAUCUAUUGUACUUAUUUUAAAUUAAUUCUUAACUUGGCCUAUUUUCCAAACCAUUUAACUGUAACAGAGUAGACAAAGGCCUCUAGCCAGGAAUUAGUUGAAAUCUUCUUUCCAACCAGUGGUAGGCAUGGAGAAGGGAAGAGUGAAUUCUUCACAGCCCUUGGAUAUAACUUUAUUCUUAUCAGUUAAGGCAGAUAUUUAUUAAGAUAUGAAAAUAUCUCUUAGUGUGCAAUCCAAGAAUGAACCAUAUUUUUAUAAAUCUGACCUUCAGUAGCUUCUUAAGAUGAACUGACACACCAAAUAAACUUUUACCUCCAGCCAUCUUACUGUUGACACAUCUUUGUUAGCUGCCCUAUCUCAAACAUACAUCUUUCUUUUAACACGAUAUGAGCAGAAGUACAAUCAGGAAUAAAAAAAAAUAGCCAUUAACAGGGAACCACUGGAAGAUCCAAAAGAGAGCAGUUUUACUUUCCAGUUCACUCUCUCUUACAGCACACCAGAGCUCAGACAAACGACCAUAAUGCAGUUUACCUCAGCUAAGCCAGUAGUCAAUGGCUACCUAAGUAUACACACCUAACCAGCAGCAACACAAGUUAAUUAAAAUUCUUAGGGCUUCAAUGAAAUCAGAUAAAGCCAAAUGAAAUUACAUUCCAUUUAACACAAGUGCGUGCAUCACAUUUUGCCACCACUAAAUCCAUGAGCAUAAUGCCAUAGAAUGUUGGCUCCUCAGAAGACAGCUCUGCAACCUUGCUGAAAGUUCGGGUAUUCAGAGACUUCAGACAAACCCAAGUCUCCUCCAUCCACCCUGCAAACCCUACCAGCAUUCUUUCUCUUUUUCCUGGAUGCCCCACAUCCAUCUCUUUACCAACUGUCCACACCUCAUGCUCACCAUUAUUCAUCCCUUACCCAGUUUAUACUAACUCACAUCUUCCUGGCUUGUUGGGACUGAGAAAUAGAGUAUCACAGAAUCACAGAAUUAUAGAAUCCUUUGAGUAGGAGGGAACCUUCAAAGGUCACCUAGUUCCACCCCUCUGCAAUGAUCAGGGACAUGCAUAGCUAGAUCAGGUUGCUCAAAGCCCCAUCCAGCCUGGCCUUGAAUGUCUCAAGGAACAGGGCAUCUAUCACAUUUCCGGGCAACAUGUUCCAGAGCAAUGGCCCUUGAUCAUUAGGAGUAAAGGGGAGAGAUACAAGGAAUGAGAAGGUCUGGCUCAGCACAGCAUAACAAGACUCCUGGACAGCCAUAGGGUUUGUGCAGCUGGCAGCGAGCAUAUCUCUGACAUUGCCUCCAUUAUUCUUAGCAAUGGCAAACCCUCUGCACUGCUUCUGAGCUCCAGCAGGUCACAUACACAACCCAGCCAGCUUAAAGACAGGCUUGUUCUAACUUAUCUCCUCUGGAAGUGUAAAAUAUACAAGUAAUUACAAUCGGAUGUUGAUAAAAAGUUUUUGUGUGACCAUUAUCGUUAUAGUGAAGUGACCCAAAACUCUGGGCUCAGAUACUUUCUGCCACGCAUUCUUCUUUGAUGGCAGAGAUAAAAUUUGCAGUCUAAUUUGGGAAAUGCUUAUUUAAAUUGUGUGUAGUUACAGAGAUGUACAAAGGUCAGUAAAAUUAAAUACUUCAAAAAAAUAAAGAAAUUGAUCCAUUUGUUUUUCUUAAGUGUCCUUGUUAUUUAGACAUGAUGGUAUAUUUUUCUAAAAAAAAAAAAACCUUUUCAAGAAAGCUGUAAUUAUCUUGAAAUACAUUUUCUGAUGUAUGAUAAGGAGUGGAUUAUCUUGAAAAUGGGAUGUUGGCUUCAUUUACAUAUCAGAUCCGAUUCACUAUUAAACUGUCUUUGGUUUUGCUUCCUGGAUGCUUAAUAAGAGAGAACAUUGUCCCCUUAGAAGGACUUGAUUUUAUGAUUUAUCAAGAGUUAUUAACUCCCACUGAGGUCAAAACUAUCACACAAGGCCAGAUCCCAGCAAUAUCUUAAAGGGAACUGGAAUAGUUCUGUCAAGGCCUUGCUGCAUUAGAAACAAGAUUAAGGAAAAUGUGGCUUCCAAAGGGGGAUAAUUUUCAUCAAACUAUAUAUCAUCUUGGUCAGUUUUUUCAGCUGAAUUCUGCCAUUCUAUCUUUGGGGAGUUAGGUUCACCUCUGUCAAAGGCAAAGUUGGGAUGGAUUUGUUCUGCUGUGUUAGCCUGAGCAGCAAAGAAAAGUUUUCAGCUUUCUUGGAUGCCACAGCAGAGCUGGUGGUUACUCUAAUACAGAAAAAUCACAUGCCAUCACAAAAGUCUCAUAGAUCACUGGCCCUGAACUACAUAAGCAUCAGGAGCAGAAGAGUGAUACUGCAAACUGCCCAGAUACCCCUUGUUUUGCAUUAUUCAUUGCUUACCCCGCUUUCAGAAGAUGUAAUUCUGCUGCUCCUCUCUGACAGACUGGAGACCAGGCCUGGUUUGGAACAGCCUGGGAAUGAGACAGUAGCACUGGGCCACCAAACUGAGCUCCCACAGAGAUCAUGCAAAGUGCUGAGCCAUGAUUCUUCAUGUGGGGACAGAACAAACAAAACCCACUGACAUUAGUUCCAGCAUUUGCUAAUUCAAUACCUCUGCUUCCUGCCAUAGCAAAUCCAGGCCCUAUGGGUUUCUGCUGUGCUUUCCUCAUCCCAGUGACAGUCUCACAUACUGCCAGGCAACUAUUCACAGAACCUUUAUUGUUUCUGCUCCAAGGGCAAGCUGCAGUGAGGUCACUGUCAGAUCAGUAUCCUCAUCCCCAAUUUAAAUACAGAACAUUGUUUCCAACAAGCUAGCUCAGCUUUAUUAACAGAAAUUUAUUUUCACUAGGAUCUUUCUAAUUCUGAUCUUCAGACUGGCAGCCAACUAAGUGACGAGUGCUUAUGGACUGUGGGAUUGGUUACAGGCACUGCGUCUCAUCUCUUGUGUAGAUACAUAUAUAAAAAGAGCACAGUUUACUUGGGCCUUAAUAUCUGCCACCAAAUAAGCAUCUCACACUGAUAAGGGAUAAUACUGUAAUAGAAAUGGUUCCAGAAAGGUGAGGGAGGUGAAAUUAAUAGAUGUGAGCUCAGCACAGUGCCAUAUUUUAUGUCUGCUGCUGAGGUGGAAGGAUGUUCCUGAACCAGUUGUUCCUCCAAUGCCUGCAGCUCUGUGCUGUGCCAGCACUCACGCAACUAAGGGUGACAUAUUUCUCCUGUACAAUUCAGCUGUUCUGUUUGAAAUCAUACUGUCUUGAUAGAAAGGAAAAUAAAUAACCCACAAGAUAUAAAUAUCCCAAAAUAAUUUGGGAUAAAGAAUAUACAAUGGAGAUAGGAGAUUCCCACCCUGGGGCAGAGGCUGCUCUAGCUCCACCAGCACACUGCACGGUCAUAAAUUAUCUCAUCACUGUGAUCAGAAGCUCAUUUUCAGGUCUGAAGAUUCUCUCCUUUGCUCUGGAAAGGCUCUCACAUGCUGACUCACAUGAGAGAGUCAAAACCCAACAAGCCUCAGCCCUUCUGAAGGAAACUAGCCCAAGGUACAGAACUAGCUGCAAUGUGACCUGGCUUGCUUCACAGCAACGUGUGAUGCAAAUACCAUUACUCGUAAAGCUCAGAGGUUAGCCACAGGUUGUGCAGGGCUGUAACAAAAACGUUACAGGGAACAGUCAUGCUUUGCUUGCUUGAUGGGAGGUCCCUCAUCUGCACGUGAAGGGCAAGUCGCACACAGCUCUCUCCACAAAUGUGAGUGAAAGGAGAUGAGUUGCAUGUAACUCACUGCCUCUCACCUUUCUGUACUGCUCCAGAGCUCAGCAUGGAUGUCAGAUGCUGUCAUCCUGUUUUAAAACUGUAUGGAAAGGUGUAACCAGCUGGAAAUCCAGCUGUGUUCAAGGAGAGGCAUUGCCAAACUGUCAGCAUCCUUUCUGCCUGCCAGGCCCCACACACCCAGCUUGGUUUUUAAUUGUAGAAACAUCCUUCCUGUCUGAAUGGGAAAAUGUGGACAAUAGCUCACACAGGCAUUGUACUCCCACGUUCCCCUUCUCCAUCACACAGUGACAGAAAACAAUGCUGAGAUUUCCUGUGAGUUGUACAGUUAUGCUAAAGUCUUAAAGCAUAAAUACCACUUCUGAAUAGUAAGGCAGAAGUGCAGACCUCUUAAAUUUUAUUUUCAUAGACCAUUAAUUUUCUCAAACGUUUUAUUAUAAGUCAGGACUUUGGUGAUCCUUAUUAUCCCCAUUACAACUCCAAUCUUUAGGCAGGUGUAGCUCCAAAUUUGUUCUUCAAGAUAAGAGGGGGAGGAAGCUGUAUCAGAGAUAGAGAUAUAUAUAUAUAUAAAUUUACACACAUAUACAAUUUAGGUAGCACUCAAGACCACAGUGUAAUGGCUGGAGCUAGCAGUAGCUUGAAGAGGAGGAAGACAAGCACCCCUCAUUAGAGAUGCCAGUCAAACAAUAAAAACAGAAAAAGAUAGGAUAGAGACCCAGGCACUAAGGGAAUGCAGUAUAUCAAAAUAGCCUGGAGAAGUGAUAGGCCAAACUCACAACCAUCUGAUACUGACAGUUUAAGAAAAUAUACCUGACUGAAGUAGAUUUAUUUUUCUCCCUUUAUUUUUCUACUCCUCCAUUUUAGUCAUCUACUUAAGCAUCCUUCAGACCUUAUACCUAGGCUUUUGUGGUAAAAGUUUUAUGAUUACCAACCUCUUGAUUACCUUAGCACCCAACAAAUAGGAACCCUUGAAAGCACACUAUCAACAGCUUUUCCCCAAUUGCUUAUGGAGAGGUCAAGUUCUUCCCCUGGCUUUCUGGUCAAAAAAAAAAAAAAAACAGUGCUAAUUUUAACUUUU
This is a long non-coding RNA of Numida meleagris (helmeted guineafowl), 6005 nucleotides long. RefSeq lists it as uncharacterized. The transcript is spliced from 9 exons. NCBI's taxonomy places the organism in Eukaryota, Metazoa, Chordata, Aves, Galliformes, Numididae. The record is from RefSeq and is a predicted model, not a curated record.